Molecule: ribosomal RNA, 392 nt
Filed under: uncultured bacterium
Lineage: Bacteria
Description: bacterial SSU rRNA
Rfam family: Bacterial small subunit ribosomal RNA
Source: RNAcentral
AUUGAACGCUGGCGGCAUGCCUAACACAUGCAAGUCGAACGGCAGCACGGCAGUAGCAAUACUGUGGGUGGCGAGUGGCGGACGGGUGAGGAAUACGUCGGAAUCUGCCCAAUCGUGGGGGAUAACUAACCGAAAGGUUAGCUAAUACCGCAUACGACCGAGAGGUGAAAGCGGGGGACCGCAAGGCCUCGCGCGAUUGGAUGAGCCGACGUCGGAUUAGCUUGUUGGUGGGGUAAAGGCCUACCAAGGCAACGAUCCGUAGCUGGUCUGAGAGGAUGAUCAGCCACACUGGAACUGAGACACGGUCCAGACUCCUACGGGAGGCAGCAGUGGGGAAUUUUGGACAAUGGGCGCAAGCCUGAUCCAGCAAUGCCGCGUGCAGGAUGAAGGCC